This 1534-nucleotide long non-coding RNA is filed under the name Daphnia pulicaria. RNAcentral describes it as "uncharacterized LOC124342252". The record is from RNAcentral. Lineage: Eukaryota; Metazoa; Arthropoda; Branchiopoda; Diplostraca; Daphniidae.
GUGUCUUCAUGUGAGGAAGAAAUAUUUGCCAUUUGUUUACGAGACGCUGACUUGAUGGUGUAUUCCAAAUUCAUUACGGCAUUGAGGUGUCGAUCUACAUUUUCAGCUAUUAAAUGUAAUUGGCAAUCUGGCAUAUAAUUUCACUUGGCCAAAUAAUGUGACCACUUUGGUCGAAACUGCCGUCCAUUUUGUCGAAAUGUCGGCCAUUGUUAGCUGUACGUCUCAUCUCGUGCUGUAACACUUCAGAGCUAUUGAUUUUCCGGUCGGAGAUGGAGAUCCCUUUGCUCAACUGUUGCAGAGAUUGAGGACAUGACAAAGUCUGAGCUUCAUGGAUGUUGUAUCUUUAACAUGGUUUUGUUGCAGCCAGCUGGCGAGAAUAAUGUGUGUGAGUCCAAUUGAGCUGCAGGCCUGCAGCUGCUGCAUGCAGUUUAUCGAGCUAGUGUUAAAACAAGUGUCACUGCAGAAAACUUCUUAAAAUGGAGUUCAUGGGAGCUGUUUGUGGUGUUGCUUUUUGGUGUACAGUGGUUUUGCAGUCCCUUUCCAGUUGAGAGAUGCUCUGAAAUGGAGCUUGUGCAGACUUGCAGUUCAACAUCAUACUGAGAUGUGUCAUUUGUCUAUGUUGGUGUCCAUGCAGUGUUGAACAGUUGGUUGAAAUAGUCUAUCGCCACAGAUGGUAACAAAAAUCUUUGAGCGGUGCCCUUAAAGAUGUCCACGAGCACGUAAUGCUGUUCCGCAACAUCGAUGGCGGUAACAUAGGCCGAGUCCUCCCUAAAUAUUUAAGCUAAUCGACUUCCGAGAAGGUGAAAGCGCAAGGUGUCAAUGUGUUGUCCAAAGCUAAUGUUGAGGGUGCAAUUUUGGAAGACUACAAGGUCGCAUUGACCUUAAACGAUGGUCAAAAGAUUUAAACUGACCAUGUCGUUGCUGUUGUCGGUUGGGACGCAAACUUCACGGAUUUGGCUGUCGUUUCUGGUUCGGAAAUAGAUUCCAAUUUUGGUGGUUAUCGAGUAAAUACCGAGCUUGAAGCACGAUCGAUCGUCGGGUUGGUAAGAAUUCUUGAACAUUUUAUUUCAUAUAAAUUGCUGGAGAUGUUACGUCUUUUUGUGAUAUCAAAUUGGGUUGUCGUCGUACGGAACAUCAUCACUUUGCUGUUGUAUCAGGGCGAUUGCUGGAGAGAACAAUACUGGCAACGAAACAUGGAUGAACAACUGCAGUGCACUGUCCCCAAGUUCAUUCUUCGUCGUAUUAUCAGUACGCAAUCGGUGUCGUGCUGUUGCCGUUUGUCGUAUCGUUGAAGGUUGGGUCGAUCACUGGUGUACUCGUGGCUCCUGGGUAUGGCGGAUACCAAAGCACCACGCCGCCGCCUUGCUACACAACGACAACAUUCGCACCAACCGGUUACUACACUGAGGACCACAAUUACUACACCACCAAGGCUCUAGAGUAUUACACCGCAGCUAAUGCUGCCCCGAGUUAAAUCACCAAAGAUCCUGAGUAUUACACCGCAGCUAAUUCUGCCCCGAGUUAAAUCACCAAA